GAUGAACGCUGGCGGCGUGCCUAAUACAUGCAAGUCGAGCGAACAGAUGAGGAGCUUGCUCCUCUGACGUUAGCGGCGGACGGGUGUGUCACACGUGUAUCACCUCCCUAUAAGUCUGGGAUCACCUCGGGAAACCGGCGCUAAUACCGGAUAAUAUAUUGAACCGCAUGGUUCAAUAGUGAAAGUCGGUUUUGCUGUCACUUCUAGAUGGAUCCCCGCCGCUUUAGCUAGUUGGUAAGGUAACGGCUUACCACGGCAACGAUGCGUAGCCGACCUGAGAGGGUGAUCGGCCACACUGGAACUGGACCACGGUCCAGGCGCCUAAGGGAGGCACCAGAAGGGAAUCUUCCGCAACGGGCGGAAACAUGACGGAGCAAGGGCGCGUGAGUGGUGAAGGUGUUCGGAUCGUAAAACUCGGUUAUUAGGGAAGAACAACUGUGUAAGUAACUGUGCACGUAUUGACGGUACCUGAUCAGAAAGCCACGGCUAACUACGUG
Molecule: ribosomal RNA, 497 nt
Filed under: uncultured bacterium
Lineage: Bacteria
Description: partial 16S ribosomal RNA
Rfam family: Bacterial small subunit ribosomal RNA
Source: RNAcentral